This 405-nucleotide ribosomal RNA is filed under the name uncultured bacterium. RNAcentral's name for it is "bacterial SSU rRNA". It matches the Rfam family "Bacterial small subunit ribosomal RNA", at positions 1099 to 1504 of the family's 1533-position model. The record is from RNAcentral.
CAACCUUUGUCAUUAAUUGCCAUCAUUCAGUUGGGCACUUUAAUGAGACUGCCGGUGACAAACCGGAGGAAGGUGGGGAUGACGUCAAGUCCUCAUGGCCCUUAUGGGUAGGGCUUCACACGUCAUACAAUGGUCGGUACAGAGGGUCGCCAACCCGCGAGGGGGAGCCAAUCCCACAAAGCCGAUCGUAGUCCGGAUCGCAGUCUGCAACUCGACUGCGUGAAGUCGGAAUCGCUAGUAAUCGUGGAUCAGCAUGUCACGGUGAAUACGUUCCCGGGUCUUGUACACACCGCCCGUCACACCAUGGGAGUGGGUUCCACCAGAAGUAGGUAGUCUAACCGCAAGGGGGGCGCUUACCACGGUGGGAUUCAUGACUGGGGUGAAGUCGUAAACAAGGUAGCCGUA